AAUGAAUUGCCUGACAAAAGGGCUACCUUGAUAGGGUAGAUCAUAUGAUAAAUAUCAUAUUCAUUA
This 66-nucleotide transfer RNA is filed under the name Trichocera sp. RNAcentral describes it as "tRNA-Ile". The record is from RNAcentral. Lineage: Eukaryota; Metazoa; Arthropoda; Insecta; Diptera; Trichoceridae.